AUUUCUGUCCAUUUGGUGGGUAUUUCUCCUCUCUCCUUUGCUCAUGACCUAAGUUAAGGAAAUAUAUAGUGAAUUAAAUGAGAUUUAGGGAAGCACUAAAUCAGCAGCAACUAAGUGAUAACGAAAACCUUAAAAUUGCACAUGGAAUUGGGGUGGGGGAGCGAGGUGUUACAUUUCCAUCUUUUUAUCACUUCAAGAAUAAGAAUUUAGUGUUAUAAGCAAAAAUAUAAAAACUAAUUUUUUAAACACAAAGCUCUUGAAUCAUGGUGAUUCAAAAACAGAUGUCUCGUAACUUUUAUUUUGAUUUUUUUUAGUCCACUGGGAAAUGCUGUGUGCAUGUUUAUGAGAAUCCUAUGAAUUAAAAAAAAGGGGGGGUUUCCCAUCUGAAAAAGACACACAGAGUCCCUCCUGUGUGCUACAGCCUCUGCACGUGUACCGUGAAGUCACAGUUCUUUGUGGAAACGGAAGUGGAAUUUCCUACUUGCUGCCCACGCACACAUGGCGGGCGCUGGGCCAAGGACUUCUUAUAUGCAGCAGUGAGUCACACCACAGCAGCCCUGGAGGCCUGCGGUAUAAUCUGCAUUUGCAGACAGGACUCAGAGGAGUUACUUUCCCAAGGACAUAACCAGACGCCAGUGUCAGCAACGGCUGUGUUGAAUCACCAGUGACUUGGCAAAUGGCUGUGAUCAAAGCUAAAAACUAACACUUUAGCAUGUACUCUAACGUCUGACACCACCUUUUUUGUUCUUCAUAUAAUUAUAAUUUACAGUUGAUUGAGCCAAAGAUCAAGGGAUUAUGCUUGAUUACUCUUUUCCCUCUUUCCUUGAAAUCCAACACAUCCAAAAUCUCAUCUGUCUCUUUAUUUCUCCCCAUUACUAAGGCCACCUCUGUGUCCCUGCCACCAUCACUUCCCCUUUAAGUGAACUGGGGUGUUGGCCGUAGUGAUGCCAGAACAAUAGGUUCCAAUGGGGACUGUGCCCCAAACCUAAAUGUACAAUGACCUUCCUAACACCCACCUUCUCCAUGGGGGAGUCCAACUUCAGGCCCAACCCCAGGCAGUUACAGGUGGGAAGCUGCCCUCCUCUCACCAGUCUGGGGUGCAGUCAGUGCACUGCAGUCGUCUGGAGGGAGCUGCACCCCCAGGCCAGCCAUAUUCCCAGCACAUCCUCCAUUCACAGGCCUCUUUCUUAGGGACUCUUGGCUGAGGUACUUUUUCCCUCUCCACCCUCAGACUUCUCCUGUGUCCCUCCCAUGGCCUGUGGGUCGUGAGGAGGCUGAGCCCACUUGGCAGUGAGCGAACUCCUCUGUGUGCUCCGUGUCCACUGGCCCCUGCGCAGCACCUUUCCCUGCGGAGAACACGGCAGCGGGGAGCCGAUGCCUCUUCCUGCCUGUUGCUCGCACUGUUGCAUCAGCGAUAAAGCUUUGAUGGCUAUUUUCACAGUGGCUCAUUGCCCUAAUUGACCAUGUGAACAUUUAAUCUACGCAGCAACCAAAGAGUCAUCUUCUGCCUUAAGAAUAAAAUCAAUGCUCUACCAUG
Molecule: long non-coding RNA, 1537 nt
Organism: Hipposideros armiger (great roundleaf bat)
Lineage: Eukaryota; Metazoa; Chordata; Mammalia; Chiroptera; Hipposideridae
Exons: 2
Source: RefSeq, a predicted model, not a curated record